Molecule: ribosomal RNA, 253 nt
Filed under: uncultured bacterium
Lineage: Bacteria
Description: partial 16S ribosomal RNA
Rfam family: Bacterial small subunit ribosomal RNA
Source: RNAcentral
UACGAAGGGGGCUAGCGUUGUUCGGAAUCACUGGGCGUAAAGCGCACGUAGGCGGCUUUUUAAGUCAGGUGUGAAAUCCUGGAGCUCAACUCCAGAACUGCCUUUGAUACUGAGAAGCUUGAGUCCGGGAGAGGUGAGUGGAACUGCGAGUGUAGAGGUGAAAUUCGUAGAUAUUCGCAAGAACACCAGUGGCGAAGGCGGCUCGCUGGCCCGGUACUGACGCUGAGGUGCGAAAGCGUGGGGAGCAAACAGG